RNAcentral lists this transfer RNA (62 nucleotides) under Nectonemertes cf. mirabilis HC-2011. Its description in RNAcentral is "tRNA-Tyr". Lineage: Eukaryota; Metazoa; Nemertea; Enopla; Monostilifera; Nectonemertidae. The record is from RNAcentral.
UGCAGGAUGGCUGAGCGUAGGCGAAAGAUUGUAGCUCUUUUUACGAGUUUUCUCUCUUGUAA